GAAGCACGGCUUCGUAGUGCACAAACGGGGAGCUUGCUCCCGCUCACGCUGCGGGGAAAGUCCCCG
This 66-nucleotide non-coding RNA is filed under the name Azadinium spinosum. Lineage: Eukaryota; Dinophyceae; Gonyaulacales; Amphidomataceae. The record is from RNAcentral.